CUGACCUCAGAUCAGGCAAGAGCACCCGCUU
RNAcentral lists this ribosomal RNA (31 nucleotides) under Sphagnum angustifolium. RNAcentral's name for it is "partial 25S ribosomal RNA". Lineage: Eukaryota; Viridiplantae; Streptophyta; Sphagnopsida; Sphagnales; Sphagnaceae. The record is from RNAcentral.